This 487-nucleotide ribosomal RNA is filed under the name uncultured bacterium. RNAcentral's name for it is "bacterial SSU rRNA". It matches the Rfam family "Bacterial small subunit ribosomal RNA", at positions 15 to 507 of the family's 1533-position model. The record is from RNAcentral.
GAUCAUGGCUCAGAUUGAACGCUGGCGGCAGGCUUAACACAUGCAAGUCGAGCGGAGACUUCGGUCUUAGCGGCGAACGGGUGAGUAAUACCUAGGAAUCUGCCUAUUAGUGGGGGAUAACGAAUCGAAAAGGUUCGCUAAUACCGCAUACGUCCUACGGGAGAAAGGGGGGGGAUCUUCGGACCUCUCGCUAAGUAGAUGAGCCUAGGCCGGAUUAGCUAGUUGGUAGGGUAAAGGCCUACCAAGGCGACGAUCUGUAGCUGGUCUGAGAGGAUGGCCAGCCACACUGGAACUGAGACACGGUCCAGACUCCUACGGGAGGCAGCAGUGGGGAAUAUUGGACAAUGGGGGCAACCCUGAUCCAGCCAUGCCGCGUGUGUGAAGAAGGCCUUCGGGUUGUAAAGCACUUUAAGCGAGGAGGAAGGUUUUAGUUUAAUACACUAAAGAAUUGACGUUACUCGCAGAAUAAGCACCGGCUAACUCUGUG